UUCAACUCUUAAGAAUAUUCUUAAAUAAUAAAAUUAAAAUGAAUUAUAAUUUUUGUUGGUUGGGAAAAAGAAUAGACACACACGUGACAGUGUAUCACUUCACCUCAUCAUUUCAUCUCAUCAUUUCAUCUCAUUUCAUCAUUUCAUCUCAUCAUUUCAUCUCAUUUUAUCUCAUCAUAUCAUCUCAUCAUUUCAUCAAAUCUCAUCUCAUUUCCAUUUCAUUUUCAUUAUUUCAUUUCACUAUUUCAUUUAAUUUCAUCUAAUUUCAUUUAUUUCAUUAUGUCACUUCAUAUCAUCUCAUUUCAUCUCAUCAUUUUUCAUAUCAUUUUUCAUCUCAUCAUUUCAUCUCAAUUCAUUUCAUCUCAUCAUUUCAUCUCCUCAUCUCAUCAUUUCCUCCUUUCAUUUUAACAUUUCAUCUCAUCAUUUCUUCUCAUCUCAUUUCAAUUUCAUUUCAUUAUUUCAUUUCAUCUCAUUUCAUUAUUUCACCUAAUUUCAUUAUUUCAUCUCAUCUCAUCUCAAUUCAUCUCAUCUCAUUUCAUCUCAUCAUUUCAUCUCAUCAUUUUUCAUCUCAUCAUUUUUCAUCUCAUUUAAUCUCAUUUCAUUUCAUUUUGUCUCAUCAUUUCAGCUCAUCAUUUCAUCUCACCACAUCUCUUCAUUUCAUCAUUUCAUUUCAACAUUUCAUCGUUUCAUCUCAUCUCAUCUUUCAAUUUCAUUUCAAUAUCAUUUCAUUUCAUCAUUUCAUCUCAUUUCAUCUCAUCAUUUCAACUCAUUGCAUCUCAUCUCGUCAUUUCCAUUUCAUUAUUCCAUUUCAUCAUUUCAUUUCAUUAUGUCAUUUCAUCUCAUCACAUUUCAUCUCAUCUCAUUUCAUCUCAUCUCAUCAUUUCAUCUCAUCGUUUCAUCUCAUUUCAUCUCAUUAUUUCAUCUGAUUUCAUGUCAUCAUAUCAUGUCAUCAUUUCAUCUCAUUUCAUCACAUCUCAUCUCAUCAUUUAAUCUCAUCAUUUAAUCUCAUUUCAUCUCAUUUCUUCUCAUCUCAUCAUUGCCAUUUCAUUAUUUCAUCAUUACAUUUCAUAAUUUCCUUUCAUUAUUUCAUUUCAUUUCAUCUCAUUUCAUUAUUUCAUCUCAUUUUUCAUCUCAUCAUUUUUCAUCUCAUUUCAUCUCAUCAUUUCAUCUCAUCAUUUCGUCUUAUCAUCUCAUCUUAUUUCAUCAUUUCAUCUUAUCGUUCAUCUCAUUUCAUCUCAUCAUUUUAUCUCAUUAUAUCAUCUCAUCUCAUCUCAAUUUCAUUAUUUCAUAUCAUUUCAUUAUUUCAUUUCAUCUCAUCAUUUCUUCUCAUUUCAUCUCGUUUCAUCUCAUCAUUUCAUCCAUCAUCUCAUUUCAUCUCAUCUCAUCUCCUUUCAAUUUCUUUUCAAUUUUGUCAUUUUAUCUCAUCAUUUCAUCUCACCAUUUCAUCUCAAAAUUUCAUCUCAUCAUUUCAUCUCAGCAUUUCAUCAUUUCAUCUCAUCAUUUCAUCUCAUCUCAAGUAAUCUUAUCAUUUCAUCUAAGUGAAAUGAUGUAAUGGAAUCAUGAAAUGAAAUGGAUAGGUUGCCCUCAGUGAUGUUAAAUUUAAAAAUUGUUUGCUUUCAUGUAUUCAUUUUUAUAUUUAUAUGUAUUUAUAUUUAUAUUUACUUAUAUUUCUUUUUACUUAUUUUUAUUUAUAUUUUUACUUAUUUAUUGGUAGACAAGGUCCUGUUCUGUGGCCUAGGCUGGAAUGCAGUGGUGCAUUCACAGUUCACUGCAGCCUCGAGCAAACCUCCCACCUUAGCCUCCCAGGUAGCUGGGACCCCAGGUGCGCACCACCACACCUGGUUAAUAUUUUAUUAUUUG
Molecule: long non-coding RNA, 1860 nt
Organism: Gorilla gorilla gorilla (western lowland gorilla)
Lineage: Eukaryota; Metazoa; Chordata; Mammalia; Primates; Hominidae
Source: Ensembl